RNAcentral lists this ribosomal RNA (465 nucleotides) under Vreelandella stevensii. Its description in RNAcentral is "partial 16S ribosomal RNA". It matches the Rfam family "Bacterial small subunit ribosomal RNA", at positions 338 to 795 of the family's 1533-position model. The record is from RNAcentral. Lineage: Bacteria; Pseudomonadati; Pseudomonadota; Gammaproteobacteria; Oceanospirillales; Halomonadaceae.
CCUACGGGGGGCAGCAGUGGGGAAUAUUGGACAAUGGGCGAAAGCCUGAUCCAGCCAUGCCGCGUGUGUGAAGAAGGCCUUCGGGUUGUAAAGCACUUUCAGUGGGGAAGAAAGCCUUGGGGCUAAUACCCUCGAGGAAGGACAUCACCCACAGAAGAAGCACCGGCUAACUCCGUGCCAGCAGCCGCGGUAAUACGGAGGGUGCGAGCGUUAAUCGGAAUUACUGGGCGUAAAGCGCGCGUAGGCGGUCUGAUAAGCCGGUUGUGAAAGCCCCGGGCUCAACCUGGGAACGGCAUCCGGAACGGGCAGGCUAGAGUGCAGGAGAGGAAGGUAGAAUUCCCGGUGUAGCGGUGAAAUGCGUAGAGAUCGGGAGGAAUACCAGUGGCGAAGGCGGCCUUCUGGACUGACACUGACGCUGAGGUGCGAAAGCGUGGGUAGCAAACAGGAUUAGAUACCCGAGUAGUC